Molecule: ribosomal RNA, 433 nt
Filed under: uncultured bacterium
Lineage: Bacteria
Description: partial 16S ribosomal RNA
Rfam family: Bacterial small subunit ribosomal RNA
Source: RNAcentral
AACGAACGCUGGCGGCAUGCCUAACACAUGCAAGUCGAACGAGACCUUCGGGUCUAGUGGCGCACGGGUGCGUAACGCGUGGGAACCUGCCCUUAGGCUCGGAAUAACUCCCCGAAAGGGGUGCUAAUACCGGAUAAUGUCUUCGGACCAAAGAUUUAUCGCCUUUGGAUGGGCCCGCGUUGGAUUAGCUAGUUGGUAGGGUAAAAGCCUACCAAGGCGACGAUCCAUAGCUGGUCUGAGAGGAUGAUCAGCCACACUGGGACUGAGACACGGCCCAGACUCAUACGGGAGGCAGCAGUGGGGAAUAUUGGACAAUGGGCGAAAGCCUGAUCCAGCAAUGCCGCGUGAGUGAUGAAGGCCUUAGGGUUGUAAAGCUCUUUUACCCGGGAUGAUAAUGACAGUACCGGGAGAAGAAGCUCCGGCUAACUCCGUG